Molecule: ribosomal RNA, 482 nt
Filed under: uncultured bacterium
Lineage: Bacteria
Description: bacterial SSU rRNA
Rfam family: Bacterial small subunit ribosomal RNA
Source: RNAcentral
AUUGAACGCUGGCGGCAUGCUUUACACAUGCAAGUCGAACGGUAACAGGCCGCAAGGUGCUGACGAGUGGCGAACGGGUGAGUAAUGCAUCGGAACGUGCCCAGUCGUGGGGGAUAACGCAGCGAAAGCUGCGCUAAUACCGCAUACGAUCUAUGGAUGAAAGCGGGGGAUCGCAAGACCUCGCGCGAUUGGAGCGGCCGAUAUCAGAUUAGGUAGUUGGUGGGGUAAAGGCUCACCAAGCCAACGAUCUGUAGCUGGUCUGAGAGGACGACCAGCCACACUGGAACUGAGACACGGUCCAGACUCCUACGGGAGGCAGCAGUGGGGAAUUUUGGACAAUGGACGCAAGUCUGAUCCAGCCAUUCCGCGUGCAGGAUGAAGGCCCUCGGGUUAUAAACUGCUUUUGUACGGAACGAAAAGGUCUCUCUUAAUACGGGGGGCUCAUGACGGUACCGUAAGAAUAAGCACCGGCUAACUACGUG